Molecule: RNA transcript, 2032 nt
Organism: Juglans regia (Persian walnut)
Lineage: Eukaryota; Viridiplantae; Streptophyta; Magnoliopsida; Fagales; Juglandaceae
Gene name: 4-coumarate--CoA ligase-like 7
Exons: 6
Source: RefSeq, a predicted model, not a curated record
UAUGUGUAGAGCUCGUUUAUAGCUCUGGAGUCGAGCUAUUGUUUCCAUCCAUUAAAGAUGGAGAAAUCUGGGUACGGUAGGGAUGGCAUCUUCAGGUCUCUCAGACCACCGCUGGUGCUCCCCAGUGAUCCCAACCUCUCCAUGGUCUCAUUCCUCUUCCGAAACUCUUCUUCUUAUCCGAACAAACCGGCUCUCAUCGACGCCGAUUCCUCCCAGACCAUGUCCUUCUCUCAGUUUAAAUCCACGGUCAUAAAAGUCUCCCACGGCUUGCUCCGCCUAGGCAUCAAGAAGAGCGACGUUGUCCUCAUCUUUGCCCCGAAUUCAAUCCAGUUUCCUGUCUGCUUCCUUGGGGUUGUCGCAAUCGGCGCCGUCGCCAGCACCGUCAACCCCGUCUACACGAUCAACGAGCUCGCCAAGCAAAUCAAAGACUCUGAACCUAGGUUGAUUAUAACCGUACCCGAAUUAUGGGACAGAGUCAAAGAUUUUAACCUCCCGGCCGUUUUUUUGGGGCCCGAUCAUUCUUCUCCUUCUUCAAACGUCAUCCAUUUCGACGACUUGGUUUUAGCUGGGUCCGGGAGCGGAUCCGAUUUCCCGCUCAAUGAUGUGAAGCAGAACGACGCAGCGGCGCUGCUAUACUCCUCCGGCACGACAGGCACGAGCAAGGGGGUGAUACUGAGUCACUGGAAUUUCAUUGCAGCAUCUCUGAUGGUGACAAUGGACCAGGAGCUUGCUGGGGAGAAGCACAACGUGUUACUCUGCGUGCUUCCGAUGUUCCACGUCUUCGGGCUGUCGGCGAUAGUGUACUCACAGCUGCAGAUAGGGAAUGCAGUGGUGUCCAUGAGGAGGUUCGAGCUAGAGAAGUUUCUGAGUACGGUGGAGAGGUACAGGGUGAGCCAUCUGUGGGUGGUGCCGCCGGUGAUACUUGCGCUGGCGAAGCAUAGUGCGAUCAACAAGUAUGAUCUCUCAUCCUUGAAGCAUAUCGGGUCUGGCGCCGCGCCAUUGGGGAAGGAUAUAAUGGAAGAGUUUGCCAGGAAGUUUCCACAUGUGGUGAUCUUUCAGGGGUAUGGGAUGACAGAAACUUGUUCAGUUAUUUCUAUUGAGAAUCCAAGAGUAGGCAUUCGACAUACUGGUUCAGCCGGAAAGCUUGUUUCCGGAGUUGAAUCCCAAAUAGUCAGCGUAGAUACACUGAAGCCUCUCCCUCCCAAUCAGUUGGGGGAGAUAUGGGUUCGGGGGCAGAAUAUGAUGCAAGGUUAUUACAACAAUCCACAGGCCACCAAACUGACCAUUGAUAAUAAGGGUUGGGUACACACAGGAGAUCUUGGAUAUUUUGAUGGAGAUGGACACCUUUAUGUUGUUGACCGAAUUAAAGAGCUCAUCAAGUACAAGGGUUUUCAGAUUGCACCAGCAGAACUCGAAGGGUUGCUUAUUUCUCAUCCUGAGAUAUUAGAUGCUGUGGUCAUCCCGUAAGUUCAACACAUGCGAAUUCAGUAUGACAGAACGAAUUAACUCUUUAAAAGCCUAUUGUAUAUAUAGAGUAAUGAUACAAUCCUAGAACGUGCUAGCUUUGCGCAGUUCUAUGAAAAAGUGGGAUUUUUCAUUUGUAUCCCAGAUUUCCUGAUGCUGAAGCUGGUGAAGUCCCAAUUGCAUAUGUUGUUCGUUCCCCAAGCAGUUCACUUACCGAAGAAGAUGUUAUAAACUUUAUUGCUAAUCAGGUUGCACCUUUCAAAAGAUUACGGAGAGUGACAUUCAUAAACAACGUUCCUAAGUCUGCUGCUGGAAAGAUCCUCAGAAGAGAGCUCAUUGAGAAAUUACGGUCAAAGGUGUGAAACUAAGCGAAUUAUAUGUAGCCGAUUCCAAUGUUUGCUGUAAUGAAGAAGAUAGUCUACCAGGAGGGGCAGAGUCAAGAUAUUGUAGCCAUUAUUUUCUCUUAACAAUUAGAACCAAUGUUUUGAAUACCGUACCGGACGUUGUACCGGUCAAGGCACUGGAACGAAAUAUUUCGGUAUCAGUACCGUUUCGAGAUAGCGUUUCG